CAUGGUUUGUGUACUUCUAUUUUGGCUUGAAAGUUUCUUCAUUCAGAGCUCACAAUUGUAGCGUCCUAAUUUUAAUUUAUUUUUAGGAUUUCAAAGUUUUAGGAAGUGUGUGGAAUUAUUUGUAAAUAAUAUUACUUUCUGAACACAAAUGAGAUAAUCACAGAUCAAUGUUGUAAUUUUUUUCUGUUGGAAAGAUGCUGAAUUGCAUUGUGUAUUGGUUGAAAAGUAAGUUAGAAAUGUUUCCAAGUUCAAAUAGGAUUUGAAUAGAUCAAAAGUCCAAAUCUUAAAAUUCUAAAAUACCAGAAAUCUUGUUGCACUCAAUCUAUUCUUUCUCAUGGUCCAGCCCAUUUCUCUCCCAACAUUCUCUCUCCCUUUUCUUUUCAGCCCGACACCCAACUCAGUUUGGGCCCGGCGCAGCCCGGCCAUUCCUUCCC
RNAcentral lists this long non-coding RNA (434 nucleotides) under Setaria viridis. RNAcentral's name for it is "long non-coding RNA (SVIR_LNC008953)". The record is from RNAcentral. Lineage: Eukaryota; Viridiplantae; Streptophyta; Magnoliopsida; Poales; Poaceae.